RNAcentral lists this ribosomal RNA (402 nucleotides) under uncultured Magnetospirillum sp. Its description in RNAcentral is "bacterial SSU rRNA". It matches the Rfam family "Bacterial small subunit ribosomal RNA", at positions 355 to 774 of the family's 1533-position model. The record is from RNAcentral. Lineage: Bacteria; Pseudomonadati; Pseudomonadota; Alphaproteobacteria; Rhodospirillales; Rhodospirillaceae.
UGGGGAAUAUUGGACAAUGGGCGCAAGCCUGAUCCAGCCAUGCCGCGUGAGUGAUGAAGGCCUUAGGGUUGUAAAGCUCUUUCGACGGGGACGAUGAUGACGGUACCCGUAGAAGAAGCCCCGGCUAACUUCGUGCCAGCAGCCGCGGUAAUACGAAGGGGGCUAGCGUUGUUCGGAAUUACUGGGCGUAAAGCGCACGCAGGCGGUUCGAUUAGUCAGAAGUGAAAGCCCCGGGCUCAACCUGGGAACUGCUUUUGAUACUGUCGAGCUUGAAUCACGGAGAGGGUAGUGGAAUUCCGAGUGUAGAGGUGAAAUUCGUAGAUAUUCGGAAGAACACCAGUGGCGAAGGCGACUACCUGGCCGUCGAUUGACGCUCAUGUGCGAAAGCGUGGGGAGCAAACA